This 249-nucleotide non-coding RNA is filed under the name Clostridium saccharobutylicum. RNAcentral's name for it is "T-box sequence". It matches the Rfam family "T-box leader". From Rfam's summary of the family: Uncharged tRNA acts as the effector for transcription antitermination of genes in the T-box leader family. T-boxes are found upstream of many aminoacyl-tRNA synthetase genes and some amino acid biosynthetic genes usually in Gram-positive bacteria. Lineage: Bacteria; Bacillati; Bacillota; Clostridia; Eubacteriales; Clostridiaceae. The record is from RNAcentral.
AAAAAAACGAUGAUUAGGAAAAGUAUCUUUGAUAUUAUUUUUAGAGAGUAGUUGGUUGGUGCGAAGCUAUAAUGAGUCUUAGAGAAAAUCACCUAGGAGUUGGAGACUGAAAGGUAAAGCUACUGAAUAAGUUAUCACGUAAGAGCCUGCGUUAAAGGAUAGAGUAUGUAUGUACUUGAAUUAGAACAUUUAAUUUUACAAUUAAAUGUUUAACCUUAGGUGGUUUGCGAAUUCAACUUCGUCCUGUGG